GCCGUCUGCGCUGUGUUCUGAGUGUGGACAGGACUGGGCUCUGACAUGUGUGCUUUCUCCCAGGGCUUUGAAUCUGUUCUUAGUCUACUCUGAGGAUGGCUUUUUGCCUCUCCCUACUCCUGUACUCCGUGGUCCUUCCUUCCCUGUGGACAGUUGCUUCUCACUCAGCUGGCCUGAGAACCAGAGACCCUGCCUGGUUCUGGUUGUAAAUGACAGGAGUCUUUCUAUGGGAAACCUGUACUUUAGUUUUGACGCUGGAGCCGGCCAGAGGGGUGCUUGCCGCUUUGGCUGCUCAGCUGUGGUCCUGCACAGAGAGCUGCAGAGGGCAGCCUCCAGCCUGGCCUGCCCGUAGCCUUUGUUUACAGACUGGCUGGAGCUGCUC
RNAcentral lists this long non-coding RNA (382 nucleotides) under Rattus norvegicus (Norway rat). RNAcentral describes it as "long non-coding RNA NONRATT018788". Lineage: Eukaryota; Metazoa; Chordata; Mammalia; Rodentia; Muridae. The record is from RNAcentral.